AGUGAACGCUGGCGGUAGGCCUAACACAUGCAAGUCGAACGGCAGCACAGGAGAGCUUGCUCUCUGGGUGGCGAGUGGCGGACGGGUGAGGAAUACAUCGGAAUCUGCCCAGUCGUGGGGGAUAACGUAGGGAAACUUACGCUAAUACCGCAUACGACCUUCGGGUGAAAGAGGGGGAUCGCAAGACCUCUCGCGAUUGGAUGAGCCGAUGUCGGAUUAGCUAGUUGGCGGGGUAACGGCCCACCAAGGCGACGAUCCGUAGCUGGUCUGAGAGGAUGAUCAGCCACACUGGAACUGAGACACGGUCCAGACUCCUACGGGAGGCAGCAGUGGGGAAUAUUGGACAAUGGGCGCAAGCCUGAUCCAGCCAUACCGCGUGGGUGAAGAAGGCCUUCGGGUUGUAAAGCCCUUUUGUUGGGAAAGAAAUCUUUCAGGCUAAUACCCUGGGAGGAUGACGGUACCCAAAGAAUAAGCACCGGCUAACUUCGUG
Molecule: ribosomal RNA, 490 nt
Filed under: uncultured bacterium
Lineage: Bacteria
Description: partial 16S ribosomal RNA
Rfam family: Bacterial small subunit ribosomal RNA
Source: RNAcentral